RNAcentral lists this ribosomal RNA (252 nucleotides) under Klebsiella pneumoniae. RNAcentral's name for it is "partial 16S ribosomal RNA". It matches the Rfam family "Bacterial small subunit ribosomal RNA", at positions 1 to 247 of the family's 1533-position model. Lineage: Bacteria; Pseudomonadati; Pseudomonadota; Gammaproteobacteria; Enterobacterales; Enterobacteriaceae. The record is from RNAcentral.
ACUUAAAUUGAAGAGUUUGAUCAUGGCUCAGAUUGAACGCUGGCGGCAGGCCUAACACAUGCAAGUCGAGCGGUAGCACAGAGAGCUUGCUCUCGGGUGACGAGCGGCGGACGGGUGAGUAAUGUCUGGGAAACUGCCUGAUGGAGGGGGAUAACUACUGGAAACGGUAGCUAAUACCGCAUAACGUCGCAAGACCAAAGUGGGGGACCUUCGGGCCUCAUGCCAUCAGAUGUGCCCAGAUGGGAUUAGCUA